RNAcentral lists this ribosomal RNA (694 nucleotides) under uncultured bacterium. RNAcentral describes it as "bacterial SSU rRNA". It matches the Rfam family "Bacterial small subunit ribosomal RNA", at positions 32 to 715 of the family's 1533-position model. The record is from RNAcentral.
AACGCUAGCUACAGGCUUAACACAUGCAAGUCGCGGGGUAACGAGAGGGAAGCUUGCUUUCCUUGUCGACGACCGGCGCACGGGUGAGUAACGCGUAUCCAGCCUGCCCAUUACCACGGGAUACCCCGUCGAAAGGCGGCCUAAUACCGUAUGCAGUCGUCGGAUGACAUCAGAGGACGACGAAAGGAUUGGCGGUAAUGGAUGGGGAUGCGUCUGAUUAGCUUGUUGGCGGGGUAACGGCCCACCAAGGCGACGAUCAGUAGGGGUUCUGAGAGGAAGGUCCCCCACAUUGGAACUGAGACACGGUCCAAACUCCUACGGGAGGCAGCAGUGAGGAAUAUUGGUCAAUGGGCGAGAGCCUGAACCAGCCAAGUAGCGUGCAGGAUGACGGCCCUAUGGGUUGUAAACUGCUUUUAUAAGGGGAUAAAGUGAGUCUCGUGAGACUUUUUGCAUGUACCUUAUGAAUAAGGACCGGCUAAUUCCGUGCCAGCAGCCGCGGUAAUACGGAAGGUCCGGGCGUUAUCCGGAUUUAUUGGGUUUAAAGGGAGCGUAGGCCGGAGAUUAAGCGUGUUGUGAAAUGUAGACGCUCAACGUCUGCACUGCAGCGCGAACUGGUUUCCUUGAGUACGCACAAAGUGGGCGGAAUUCGUGGUGUAGCGGUGAAAUGCUUAGAUAUCACGAAGAACUCCGAUUG